AAACGUAGGAGGCGAGCGUUAUCCGGAUUUACUGGGCGUAAAGGGCAAGUAGGCGGCAGCAAAAGUUGGGCGUGACAGCUCUCGGCUUAACUGAGAGAGGUCGUCCAAAACUAGGCAGCUAGAGGGCAGGAGAGGGAAGUAGAAUUCCUAGUGUAGCGGUGGAAUGCUCAGAUACUAGGAGGAAUACCAGUGGCGAAGGCGACUUCCUGGCCUGUACCUGACGCUGAGAGGCGAAAGCUAGGGUAGC
RNAcentral lists this ribosomal RNA (247 nucleotides) under uncultured bacterium. RNAcentral describes it as "partial 16S ribosomal RNA". It matches the Rfam family "Bacterial small subunit ribosomal RNA", at positions 523 to 769 of the family's 1533-position model. The record is from RNAcentral.